RNAcentral lists this ribosomal RNA (433 nucleotides) under uncultured bacterium. RNAcentral's name for it is "partial 16S ribosomal RNA". It matches the Rfam family "Bacterial small subunit ribosomal RNA", at positions 29 to 507 of the family's 1533-position model. The record is from RNAcentral.
AACGAACGCUGGCGGCAUGCCUAACACAUGCAAGUCGAACGAGCCCUUCGGGUCUAGUGGCGCACGGGUGAGUAACGCGUGGGAACCUGCCCUUAGGUUCGGAAUAACUCCCCGAAAGGGGUGCUAAUACCGGAUACUGUCUUCGGACCAAAGAUUUAUCGCAUUUGGAUGGGCCCGCGUUGGAUUAGCUAGUUGGUAGGGUAAAAGCCUACCAAGGCGACGAUCCAUAGCUGGUCUGAGAGGAUGAUCAGCCACACUGGGACUGAGACACGGCCCAGACUCCUACGGGAGGCAGCAGUGGGGAAUAUUGGACAAUGGGCGAAAGCCUGAUCCAGCAAUGCCGCGUGAGUGAUGAAGGCCUUAGGGUUGUAAAGCUCUUUUACCCGGGAUGAUAAUGACAGUACCGGGAGAAUAAGCUCCGGCUAACUCCGUG